RNAcentral lists this ribosomal RNA (483 nucleotides) under uncultured bacterium. Its description in RNAcentral is "partial 16S ribosomal RNA". It matches the Rfam family "Bacterial small subunit ribosomal RNA", at positions 28 to 507 of the family's 1533-position model. The record is from RNAcentral.
GACGAACGCUGGCGGCGUGCUUAACACAUGCAAGUCGAACGCUGAAGCUCAGCUUUUGUUGGGUGGAUGAGUGGCGAACGGGUGAGUAACACGUGAGUAACCUGCCUCCUUCUUUGGGAUAACGCCCGGAAACGGGUGCUAAUACUGGAUAUUCACUGGUCUUCGCAUGGGGGUUGGUGGAAAGGGUUUUUCUGGUGGGGGAUGGGCUCGCGGCCUAUCAGCUUGUUGGUGGGGUGAUGGGCUACCAAGGCUUUGACGGGUAGCCGGCCUGAGAGGGUGACCGGUCACAUUGGGACUGAGAUACGGCCCAGACUCCUACGGGAGGCAGCAGUGGGGAAUAUUGCACAAUGGGCGCAAGCCUGAUGCAGCGACGCCGCGUGAGGGAUGGAGGCCUUCGGGUUGUGAACCUCUUUCGCUCAUGGUCAAGCCGCAACAAUGGUUGUGGUGAGGGUAGUGGGUAAAGAAGCGCCGGCUAACUACGUG